This 492-nucleotide ribosomal RNA is filed under the name uncultured bacterium. RNAcentral's name for it is "partial 16S ribosomal RNA". It matches the Rfam family "Bacterial small subunit ribosomal RNA", at positions 29 to 507 of the family's 1533-position model. The record is from RNAcentral.
AGUGAACGCUGGCGGUAGGCCUAACACAUGCAAGUCGAACGGCAGCACAGUAGGAGCUUGCUCUUACGGGUGGCGAGUGGCGGACGGGUGAGGAAUACAUCGGAAUCUACUUUUUCGUGGGGGAUAACGUAGGGAAACUUACGCUAAUACCGCAUACGACCUACGGGUGAAAGCAGGGGAUCUUCGGACCUUGCGCGAUUGAAUGAGCCGAUGUCGGAUUAGCUAGUUGGCGGGGUAAAGGCCCACCAAGGCGACGAUCCGUAGCUGGUCUGAGAGGAUGAGCAGCCACACUGGAACUGAGACACGGUCCAGACGCCUACGGGAGGCAGCAGUGGGGAAUAGUGGAAAAUGGGCGCAAGCCUGAUCCAGCCAUACCGCGUGGGUGAAGAAGGCCUUCGGGUUGUAAAGCCCUUUUGUUGGGAAAGAAAAGCAGCAGGUUAAUACCCCGCUGUUCUGACGGUACCCAAAGAAUAAGCACCGGCUAACUUCGUG